This 453-nucleotide ribosomal RNA is filed under the name uncultured bacterium. RNAcentral describes it as "bacterial SSU rRNA". It matches the Rfam family "Bacterial small subunit ribosomal RNA", at positions 29 to 521 of the family's 1533-position model. The record is from RNAcentral.
AACGAACGCUGGCGGCAGGCCUAACACGUGCAAGUCGAGCGAGGUAGCAAUACCUAGCGGCGGACGGGUGAGUAACGCGUGGGAACGUACCCUUUGCUACGGAAUAGCCCCGGGAAACUGGGAGUAAUACCGUAUGUGCCCUUCGGGGGAAAGAUUUAUCGGCAAAGGAUCGGCCCGCGUUGGAUUAGGUAGUUGGUGGGGUAAUGGCCUACCAAGCCGACGAUCCAUAGCUGGUUUGAGAGGAUGAUCAGCCACACUGGGACUGAGACACGGCCCAGACUCCUACGGGAGGCAGCAGUGGGGAAUCUUAGACAAUGGGCGCAAGCCUGAUCUAGCCAUGCCGCGUGAGUGAUGAAGGCCUUAGGGUCGUAAAGUUCUUUUAGUGGGGAAGAAGGGCAACUUGACGGUACCCACAGAAAAAGCACCGGCUAACUCCGUGCCAGCAGCCGCGGU